UACGUAGGGUGCAAGCGUUGUCCGGAAUUAUUGGGCGUAAAGAGCUUGUAGGCGGUUUGUCGCGUCUGCUGUGAAAUUUCGGGGCUCAACCCCGAACUUGCAGUGGGUACGGGCAGACUAGAGUGUGGUAGGGGAGACUGGAAUUCCUGGUGUAGCGGUGAAAUGCGCAGAUAUCAGGAGGAACACCGGUGGCGAAGGCGGGUCUCUGGGCCACUACUGACGCUGAGAAGCGAAAGCAUGGGGAGCGAACAGG
This 253-nucleotide ribosomal RNA is filed under the name uncultured bacterium. Its description in RNAcentral is "partial 16S ribosomal RNA". It matches the Rfam family "Bacterial small subunit ribosomal RNA", at positions 524 to 776 of the family's 1533-position model. The record is from RNAcentral.